CCUACGGGAGGCAGCAGUGGGGAAUCUUAGACAAUGGGCGCAAGCCUGAUCUAGCGAUGCCGCGUGAGUGACGAAGGCCUUAGGGUCGUAAAGCUCUUUCGCCAGGGAUGAUAAUGACAGUACCUGGUAAAGAAACCCCGGCUAACUCCGUGCCAGCAGCCGCGGUAAUACGGAGGGGGUUAGCGUUGUUCGGAAUUACUGGGCGUAAAGCGCACGUAGGCGGAUUAGAAAGCUAGAGGUGAAAUCCCAGGGCUCAACCCUGGAACUGCCUUUAGAACUACUAGUCUAGAGUUCGAGAGAGGUGAGUGGAAUUCCAAGUGUAGAGGUGAAAUUCGUAGAUAUUUGGAGGAACACCAGUGGCGAAGGCGGCUCACUGGCUCGAUACUGACGCUGAGGUGCGAAAGUGUGGGGAGCAAACAGGAUUAGAUACCCUGGUAGUCCACACCGUAAACGAUGAAUGCCAGACGUCAGGGGGCUUGCCCUUUGGUGUCACACCUAACGGAUUAAGCAUUCCGCCUGGGGAGUACGGUCGCAAGAUUAAAACUCAAAGGAAUUGACGG
RNAcentral lists this ribosomal RNA (560 nucleotides) under Loktanella sp. ZJ1002B105. RNAcentral's name for it is "bacterial SSU rRNA". It matches the Rfam family "Bacterial small subunit ribosomal RNA", at positions 338 to 916 of the family's 1533-position model. Lineage: Bacteria; Pseudomonadati; Pseudomonadota; Alphaproteobacteria; Rhodobacterales; Roseobacteraceae. The record is from RNAcentral.